AGAGUGGACCAGUGAGUGCUUGUGGCAACACUGUCAGGGCGUGGAGAGAGAGUGGACCAGUGAGUGCUUGUGGCAACACUGUCAGGGCGUGGGAGAGAGAGUGGACCAGUGAGUGCUUGUGGCAACACUGUCAGGGCGUGGGAGAGAGAGUGGACCAGUGAGUGCUUGUGGCAACACUGUCAGGGCGUGGGAGAGAGAGUGGACCAGUGAGUGCUUGUGGCAACACUGUCAGGGCGUGGGAGAGAGAGAGAGUGGACCAGUGAGUGCUUGUGGCAACACUGUCAGGGCGUGGGAGAGAGAGUGGACCAGUGAGUGCUUGUGGCAACACUGUCAGGGCGUGGGAGAGAGAGUGGACCAGUGAGUGCUUGUGGCAACACUGUCAGGGCGUGGGAGAGAGAGAGUGGACCAGUGAGUGCUUGUGGCAACACUGUCAGGGCGUGGGAGAGAGAGUGGACCAGUGAGUGCUUGUGGCAACACUGUCAGGGCGUGGGAGAGAGAGUGGACCAGUGAGUGCUUGUGGCAACACUGUCAGGGCGUGGGAGAGAGAGAGAGAGUGGACCAGUGAGUGCUUGUGGCAACACUGUCAGGGCGUGGGAGAGAGAGUGGACCAGUGAGUGCUUGUGGCAACACUGUCAGGGCGUGGGAGAGAGAGUGGACCAGUGAGUGCUUGUGGCAACACUGUCAGGGCGUGGGAGAGAGAGAGUGGACCAGUGAGUGCUUGUGGCAACACUGUCAGGGCGUGGGAGAGAGAGUGGACCAGUGAGUGCUUGUGGCAACACUGUCAGGGCGUGGGAGAGAGAGUGGACCAGUGAGUGCUUGUGGCAACACUGUCAGGGCGUGAGAGAGAGAGUGGACCAGUGAGUGCUUGUGGCAACACUGUCAGGGCGUGGGAGAGAGAGAGAGUGUACCAUUUAGUGGUGACUCCUGUGGUACGUACCUGUGGUCUAAACAUGUACCACUAAUCAGUAAUCUGGUGUACCACAAAGGCCUGUAUUCACAAGCGCUGUGUCCUCUUCACCCUCGCUGCUUUCCAAAGGCUCCGCUCCACCCUACUCCCUAAUCGUGUUUUUAAGGGUGUUUUUGUGGCUCUGGGGAUGGAUUGACAACAUUUAUAGUUUAUUAAAGGAGAAACUCUUGAAAACCUCAGCUUAUUGUCUCUAAUCGUGUUUUUAAGAGUGUUUUUGUGGCUCUGGGGAUGGAUUGACAAAAGAAAACGUGGAUAAUGGUCUCUACUCGUGUUUUUAAGAGUGUUUUCAUGGCUCUGGUGAUGGAUGGACAACAUCUCUAGUUUAUCAAAAGGAGAGACUCUUAAAACCUCGGCUGGUUGUCUCUGUGGCUGGAAAACUCAGUGAAAGAGCAAGACGUUUUUGAAUACAGCGUUAAAACAAUUCUCUAGAUGCCAAACGUACUGGGAUCAAACCGUUUAUAAAGGUGUAUUUAAGGUGUAUUUGAGGUGUGUUUAAGAUACUUUUGAUUUAUGCAAGAGGGGAAAGCAGACCAAGGGCUAGGAAAAAAAAAAAAAAGAUAAAAAAAAUGCCCACUUGUUAGCCAGUUCCCUGAAAGAUUAGUAGCGUUAGCCAGAUGCAUCAAAGGUGUAGAAGUGUGAAGGUGUACUAAAGGUGUCAAGAUUUAAAGGUGUACUGAAGGUGUAAAGGUGAAUUUGUAAAGGUGUAAAGGUCUGAAGGUGUGUUGAAAGUGGAAAGGUGUAGCAAAAGGUGUGAACUUCUAAAGGUGUCAAGGUGUAUUGAAGGUGUAAGGUGUAGAGCCAUCAACCUUUCAAUGACAUGAGGGCAAAACUGGCUAAUGGCACCAAAACCAUUAGAAAAACAGCCCCCACUUAGUUGCCAGUCCCCUUAAUGCCCCAUUCCCCUUACCAUUUAAAAACAUCAGUAUAUCAUUAUUUUGAGUCCAUUUCACGCAUCUCCCUUCAAAAUAACCCUUAAGAGCAACAGUACACCAUUAUUUUGACCCAUUUAGUCAUUUCCCUUCAAAAUUACCCUUAAGAGCAUCAGUACACCAUUAUGUUGACCCCAUUAAGUCAUUUCCCCUCAAAAUUACCCUUAAGAGCAUCAGUACACCAUUAUGUUGACCCCAUUUAGUCAUUUCUCUUGAAAAUAACCCUUAAGACAUCAGUACACCAUUAUGUUGACCCCAUUAAGUCAUUUCCCCUCAAAAUUACCCUUAAGAGCAUCAGUACACCAUUAUGUUGACCCCAUUUAGUCAUUUCUCUUGAAAAUAACCCUUAAGACAUCAGUACACCAUUAUUUUGACCCCAUUUAGUCAUUUCCCUUCAAAAUAAUAUAGGACUGAAUAAAAUAUGUAUAGAAUUUAAUGCUGAAAGAAAAAUUCCCGUUAAUUCCCGUGGGUCAGUAAAUGAGAGAGAAUUGUGGGAAAUUUCUAAUAAUAUUUUUCUGCCGAAGAGAAAAUGUUCACCUAUUUUUAAACAAACAAAAAAAAAAAGGUCAAAUGAGAGUCUAUAUAUUUUAUCCUUGAGUGUUUUACGUGCGUGUGUGUGUGUGUGUGUGUGUGUGUGUGUGUUUCGUUGACUUAUUGUUGCUGAUGAUGAUGAUGAUGAUGGCGGUGGUGGUGGUGGUGGUGUGCAAAUGUUAAGCUAAUACUACAAUUAAGGUAAACCCACAAAUUAAUGAAGAUAAAAUAUAUAAAUAAAUAAAUAAAUAAAAUUAAAAAAAAUGAAAUAAAGGGCGUGUGAUAUUUACGAUUAAUUUGUACUACUACUGCUACUACUACUACUACUACUACUACUACUACUACUACUACUACUACUACUACUACUACUACUACUACUACUACUACUACUACCACGUUCUUUUAUAAAACUUUGCAAUUUCAAACUACUACAACAACAACAACAACUACUACUACUACUACUACUACUACUACUACUACUACUACUACUACUACUACUACUACUACUUUAAGACUUCUUACUAUCGUGUGCCUAUCCAUCAUUAUUAUUAUUAUUAUUAUUAUUAUUAUUAUUAUUAUUAUUGUUGUUGUUGUUGUUGUUGUUGUUGUUGUUGUGUGAAAGGGCCAUUUCUUUGUAUAUUGUUUGUAUGUUUGUUUUGUUUCCCUUCAGAGAUUUUUUGUGGAGGUAAUAAAACUUGAUUUUUGAGACAAA
This 3139-nucleotide long non-coding RNA is filed under the name Portunus trituberculatus (swimming crab). Its description in RNAcentral is "uncharacterized LOC123514723". The record is from RNAcentral. Lineage: Eukaryota; Metazoa; Arthropoda; Malacostraca; Decapoda; Portunidae.